CCUACGGGAGGCAGCAGUGGGGAAUAUUGGGCAAUGGGCGCAAGCCUGACCCAGCAACGCCGCGUGAAGGAAGAAGGCUUUCGGGUUGUAAACUUCUUUUGUCAGGGAAGAGUAGAAGACGGUACCUGACGAAUAAGCCACGGCUAACUACGUGCCAGCAGCCGCGGUAAUACGUAGGUGGCAAGCGUUGUCCGGAUUUACGUGGUGUAAAGGGCGUGUAGCCGGGUUGACAAGUCAGAUGUGAAAUCCUGCGGCUUAACCGCAGAACUGCAUUUGAAACUGUUGAUCUUGAGUACUGGAGAGGUAGACGGAAUUCCGAGUGUAGCGGUGAAAUGCGUAGAUAUUAGGAGGAACACCAGUGGCGAAGGCGGUCUGCUGGACAGCAACUGACGGUGAGGCGCGAAAGCGUGGGGAGCAAACAGGAUUAGAUACCCGUGUAGUC
Molecule: ribosomal RNA, 442 nt
Filed under: uncultured bacterium
Lineage: Bacteria
Description: partial 16S ribosomal RNA
Rfam family: Bacterial small subunit ribosomal RNA
Source: RNAcentral